GAUGAACGCUAGCUACAGGCUUAACACAUGCAAGUCGGGGGGAAACGACAUCGAAAGCUUGCUUUUGAUGGGCGUCGACCGGCGCACGGGUGAGUAACGCGUAUCCAACCUGCCCACCACUUGGGGAUAACCUUGCGAAAGUAAGACUAAUACCCAAUGAUAUCUCUAGAAGACAUCUGAAAGAGAUUAAAGAUUUAUCGGUGAUGGAUGGGGAUGCGUCUGAUUAGCUUGUUGGCGGGGUAACGGACACCAAGGCGACGAUCAGUAGGGGUUCCGAGAGGAAGGUCCCCCACAUUGGAACUGAGACACGGUCCAAACUCCUACGGGAGGCAGCAGUGAGGAAUAUUGGUCAAUGGGCGAGAGCCUGAACCAGCCAAGUAGCGUGCAGGAUGGCGGCCCUAUGGGUUGUAAACUGCUUUUAUAAGGGAAUAAAGUGAGCCUCGUGAGGCUUUUUGCAUGUACCUUAUGAAUAAGGACCGGCUAAUUCCGUGCCAGCAGCCGCGGUAA
RNAcentral lists this ribosomal RNA (507 nucleotides) under uncultured bacterium. Its description in RNAcentral is "partial 16S ribosomal RNA". It matches the Rfam family "Bacterial small subunit ribosomal RNA", at positions 28 to 523 of the family's 1533-position model. The record is from RNAcentral.